This 497-nucleotide ribosomal RNA is filed under the name uncultured bacterium. Its description in RNAcentral is "partial 16S ribosomal RNA". It matches the Rfam family "Bacterial small subunit ribosomal RNA", at positions 28 to 507 of the family's 1533-position model. The record is from RNAcentral.
GAUGAACGCUGGCGGCGUGCCUAAUACAUGCAAGUCGAGCGAACGGACGAGAAGCUUGCUUCUCUGAUGUUAGCGGCGGACGGGUGAGUAACACGUGGAUAACCUACCUAUAAGACUGGGAUAACUUCGGGAAACCGGAGCUAAUACCGGAUGAUAUUUUGAACCGCAUGGUUCAAAAGUGAAAGACGGUCUUGCUGUCACUUAUAGAUGGAUCCGCGCUGCAUUAGCUAGUUGGUAAGGUAACGGCUUACCAAGGCAACGAUGCAUAGCCGACCUAAGAGGGUGAUCGGCCACACUGGAACUGAGACACGGUCCAGACUCCUACGGGAGGCAGCAGUAGGGAAUCUUCCGCAAUGGGCGAAAGCCUGACGGAGCAACGCCGCGUGAGUGAUGAAGGUCUUCGGAUCGUAAAACUCUGUUAUUAGGGAAGAACAUAUGUGUAAGUAACUGUGCACAUCUUGACGGUACCUAAUCAGAAAGCCACGGCUAACUACGUG